UAAGGGAUAUUGGGCAAUGGGCGAAAGCCUGACCCAGCAACGCCGCGUGGAGGACGAAGGUCUUCGGAUUGUAAACUCCUUUUGCAGGGGACGAGGAAGGACGGUACCCUGCGAAUCAGUCUCGGCUAACUACGUGCCAGCAGCCGCGGUAAAACGUAGGAGGCGAGCGUUAUCCGGAUUUACUGGGCGUAAAGGGUGUGCAGGCGGGCCGUUAAGUGGUGCAUGAAAGUGAAGGGCUCAACCCUUCGAGGCUGUGCCAGACUGGCGGUCUAGAGUGCGAGAGAGGGCUGUGGAAUUCCGGGUGUAGUGGUGAAAUGCGUAGAGAUCCGGAGGAACACCAGAGGCGAAGGCGGCAGCCUGGCUCGCAACUGACGCUGAGACACGACAGCAUGGGGAGCGA
RNAcentral lists this ribosomal RNA (400 nucleotides) under uncultured bacterium. Its description in RNAcentral is "bacterial SSU rRNA". It matches the Rfam family "Bacterial small subunit ribosomal RNA", at positions 355 to 771 of the family's 1533-position model. The record is from RNAcentral.